CACGUAGGGCGCAAGCGUUGUCCGGAAUUAUUGGGCGUAAAGAGCUCGUAGGCGGUCUGUUGCGUCCGCUGUGAAAACCCGGGGCUUAACCCUGGGCUGGCAGUGGAUACGGACAGACUAGAGGUAGGUAGGGGAGAAUGGAAUUCCCGGUGUAGCGGUGAAAUGCGCAGAUAUCGGGAGGAACACCGGUGGCGAAGGCGGAUCUCUGGGCCAUUACUGACACUGAGGCGCGAAAGCGUGGGGAGCGAACAGG
This 253-nucleotide ribosomal RNA is filed under the name uncultured bacterium. RNAcentral's name for it is "partial 16S ribosomal RNA". It matches the Rfam family "Bacterial small subunit ribosomal RNA", at positions 524 to 776 of the family's 1533-position model. The record is from RNAcentral.